AGAGGGCGUGAAACCGCUUAGAAGGAAACGAGAGGCGCCGCAAGUUACCAGUCAGAUUCAGCUAUUUCUUAAUUGACUUUAGUGCAUUUCUGACUGGUGUGCACCGGGUGCAGUGCUCUAUUGUGCAUUUGGCCAUUGGUAGGGAGGCACUUCUGUGUUUGCCAGUGGUUCUUUGUGCAAUUGGUACUGUCAUCAGCAGUGUCCUGAAUUGAUCGGCUGCGGGUAGCGCCAAUCCUGUGUUUGCGACCUAGAUUUUUAAUCUAACGCAUAACGGGCGUGUGCGUGUUCCAUGUGGUCGAAUAGACACGUUCUCGGUGUUAAUGUCGGCUACCCUCCCGACCCGUCUUGAAACACGGACCAAGGAGUCUAACAUGUGCGCAAGUCUUUGGGUCUGUUAAACCUAUAGGCGCAAUGAAAGUGAAGGUCGGCUCGGUCGCCUGACACACGACCCUUUCAGCUUGCUGUUUGGUGCAGUGUGGUCCCAUCUUGGAUGCUCGUCAUCGAGGUGGAGAUUGAGCGUACAUGUUGGGACCCGAAAGAUGGUGAACUAUGCCUGAACAGGAUGAAGCCAGAGGAAACUCUGGUGGAAGUCCGAAACGGUUCUGACGU
RNAcentral lists this ribosomal RNA (609 nucleotides) under Desmoscolecidae sp. 731_8-1500_X. RNAcentral describes it as "eukaryotic LSU rRNA". It matches the Rfam family "Eukaryotic large subunit ribosomal RNA", at positions 392 to 892 of the family's 3401-position model. Lineage: Eukaryota; Metazoa; Nematoda; Chromadorea; Desmoscolecida; Desmoscolecidae. The record is from RNAcentral.